Magallana angulata is the source of this 1469-nucleotide long non-coding RNA. RefSeq lists it as uncharacterized. NCBI's taxonomy places the organism in Eukaryota, Metazoa, Mollusca, Bivalvia, Ostreida, Ostreidae. The record is from RefSeq and is a predicted model, not a curated record. The transcript has 4 exons.
CAUGUCUUUGAAAUGAAUGCAUGUGAACAUGUGUGAAGAAUAGCCUUGCUACUUUGCGUGUUUAUUGGUUUAAACUAUGCAUAAAUAAAGUUGUUUAAUUAACAGAAGCCACGUGUCUUCUUAAAAUUAAUUCGAUAACGAAUCCGGAAUUAAUACGAAAUCGGUUUUAGUUUUGUCGAUGACAAACUAUACGUCACAUUUUUACGUCACGGAACCAGAAGAUCGAACUGCAGUGUAGGAUGGAUUUAGCAGAGCUGAGGUAAUGAUUGUCAAGCAUUCGUUUUUAUUUACUUGCAUUUGAAAAUUAUAUCGUACAAUUACCGAUGUCAAAAGAGUAAACAUGUAGCACGGAGCUGUAACUGUGUUCUCCGGGAAAAUUCGGGCUGAAUUAAUGACGAUAAAAAUGAUGUUUCCCCAGAGAGCUACAACUAAGCAGCUAUUUGGUUUAGUUAAUAUAGAAGAAUCAAUACUUAUUAAAACCCAUAAAAUAUAUGUCGAUCUUGGAUAAAACGCAUUUGAAAACUGAAAUAUUUGAAACUAGAGAAAAACUAGAGCAAAGCCUAUGUAAAGUAACGAGUAGGUCUUCCAUUGCAACUAAGUGAAAUAAUUAUUGAAUUGCCUCUAUUAAGUUGUAUUCUUAUUGCAUGGUCAUUGAAAUUUUUUUAUAGGCAUGCCUUGGCUGUUUCACAUAUCCCUGGAAGAGGACACCAACUAGCUAACACAGUCAAUGACAGAUGUCUCUUUGAAUGGAUAAAAUCAUAAUCAAAUGGAUAUAAUACAGAAGUUUCAAAGAUCUGUUUUGAUGUAGCCUGAAGAUUUUGUAAUGAAUGAUCCAGGAUCCAAAAGUUCUUCGCGGAGUUCAAAGACAGUUGCAAUGUGGUUGCUAAUUUAGUGACAGAUUAAGAAAGAAGUUCAAACAAGCAUUGUCAUGGGAAAACAUUAAAAAGGAAGAAGUUGGAGGUGGACAAAAAUCAGGAUGAAUAUACUAGAGAAACUAUUAAAGCACAGAAGAAUGACAACAAUAUAAAUCUAAAUGUAAUCAUUCAAGGAAUUAAAUUCAUUUUUAAUCUCGAAACUGUCUUUUUUCUGUAACUCUAAUUUUAGAUUAACAAGUAGCUGGAAAUGCAAAAUGAAUGUUUCCAAAGAUUCACUGAAGUUACUGAGUGAUUAAUUGAAAUGAUUCAAGCAGCAAGAUGAAGUAUAUCAAGAAUGCAAGAAUGAACUGAAAAAUUAAAAAUAUUCAAGUAAUGUAAUUAAGCAAUUUACAUGCGAUAUGUAUGUAAUUUAUGUGAAAAACGUACGUUGGAUCCACAUACGUAAAACGUAUGGAAUGUAUCACGUAUGUCUAACACACGUGUAACAUACGUUUCACAUAUGUUCAUUAACGUAUGUUAAACACACGUGGUACUUAAAUCACGUUAAACGUGCGUGAGGUCACAUACGUAUCACACACGUUUAACGUAUGUGAA